GUCUAAUUAUAUUUUUUACUAUUUUAACAAAUUUCAUAGCCCUCGAGUAUGAAAAAUAAGAAACAUCAUUAUAUUUUUAAAUAGGGUUGAGAUCCCUAUUCCUCACAAACACCUUGUAGAUAGCACAACAAGCAUUCAUGAGUUCAACAGUAAGUAACUCUUUAUCAAUUAUACUUUAUAUAAUUCUCAAAAAUUUUUUCUCUUGCCUUU
Molecule: long non-coding RNA, 210 nt
Filed under: Elaeis guineensis (African oil palm)
Lineage: Eukaryota; Viridiplantae; Streptophyta; Magnoliopsida; Arecales; Arecaceae
Description: long non-coding RNA (EGUI_LNC067984)
Source: RNAcentral